This 208-nucleotide long non-coding RNA is filed under the name Oncorhynchus kisutch (coho salmon). RNAcentral's name for it is "lncRNA (ENSOKIG00005045604.1)". Lineage: Eukaryota; Metazoa; Chordata; Actinopteri; Salmoniformes; Salmonidae. The record is from RNAcentral.
AUUGAAGAACUCUCUAAAAGGCACCUGGUGGGAAACCUACCACCUGGUGGGCGAUGUAACUUUUUGGGCAACCGACCAAAUUCACAUAGAAAUGUUGGAUCUGGCCUGCUACUUUGGACACAAAGAUGUUGUGGAGGAGCUACUCAAGGUGAGAAUACAGACUUACUUAUCAAUUGUUAAUGUAUUACACAUAAUUUUACUUAUAUAG